RNAcentral lists this ribosomal RNA (313 nucleotides) under Priestia megaterium. RNAcentral's name for it is "bacterial SSU rRNA". It matches the Rfam family "Bacterial small subunit ribosomal RNA", at positions 1 to 283 of the family's 1533-position model. The record is from RNAcentral. Lineage: Bacteria; Bacillati; Bacillota; Bacilli; Caryophanales; Bacillaceae.
UACGGAGAGUUUGAUCCUGGCUCAGGAUGAACGCUGGCGGCGUGCCUAAUACAUGCAAGUCGAGCGAACUGAUUAGAAGCUUGCUUCUAUGACGUUAGCGGCGGACGGGUGAGUAACACGUGGGCAACCUGCCUGUAAGACUGGGAUAACUUCGGGAAACCGAAGCUAAUACCGGAUAACAUCAUUCCUUGCAUAAGGAAUGAUUGAAAGAUGGUUUCGGCUAUCACUUACAGAUGGGCCCGCGGUGCAUUAGCAGGAAUGAUUGAAAGAUGGUUUCGGCUAUCACUUACAGAUGGGCCCGCGGUGCAUUAGC